Molecule: long non-coding RNA, 266 nt
Filed under: Lathyrus oleraceus (garden pea)
Lineage: Eukaryota; Viridiplantae; Streptophyta; Magnoliopsida; Fabales; Fabaceae
Description: Pisum sativum (pea) long non-coding RNA (PSAT_LNC009665)
Source: RNAcentral
GCAAUGUCGCUUUUCUCAGUAGGAUUCAACCUAACAGAAUAACUCAAUUCAUGCCUGUUAAGUGAUGCCCCUGGUCCAUAACCAAUCAUACCGCCAUAAUUCAUGUUAACCGUGGACCUGCAUAACCCAAACCAUAACAGUCAGUAAGCUUCAAAACCUUAAAACCGUCCUAGGAACAAUGUUGCAUUUACAAGGUUCCUAACCAUCUUUUGAAGUUGAUUGAAGAAGCUUUUACUCCAAAUUUGCACUGCAGUAACACAAAGCAA